AUACAAAGAUAGAUGAUCAAGAUAGCACUCCCAGGACUUAAAUCAAUAUAAAACUUAGCUUUUAAUCUUCUUUGCAAAGAAGAUUAAAAGUUAAGUUUUAUAUUGAUUUAAGUCCUGGGAGUGCUAUCUUGAUCAUCUAUCUUUGUAU
Non-coding RNA from Pelobates cultripes (western spadefoot toad), 148 nucleotides. NCBI's taxonomy places the organism in Eukaryota, Metazoa, Chordata, Amphibia, Anura, Pelobatidae. The record is from the annotation of a GenBank genome assembly.